GACGAACGCUGGCGGCGUGCUUUACACAUGCAAGUCGAACGAUGAAGUUCCUUCGGGAAUGGAUUAGUGGCGAACGGGUGAGGAACACGUGAGAAAUCUGCCCUUCAUUUUGGGAUAACUCCGGGAAACCGGGGCUAAUACCAAAUACUCCAUCCCGGUGGCAUCACUGGGCUGGGAAAGAAUUUCGAUGAAGGUUGAUCUCGCGGCCUAUCAGCUAGUUGGUGAGGUAAUGGCUCACCAAGGCAACGACGGGUAGCCGGCCUGAGAGGGCGACCGGCCACACUGGGACUGAGACACGGCCCAGACUCCUACGGGAGGCAGCAGUGGGGAAUAUUGGGCAAUGGGCGCAAGCCUGACCCAGCGACGCCGCGUGAGGGAUGAAGGUCUUCGGAUUGUAAACCUCUUUCAGUGGGGAAGAAGCGAAAGUGACGGUACCCAAAGAAGAAGCACCGGCUAACUAUGUGCCAGCAGCCGCGGUAAUACAUAGGGUGCAAGCGUUGUCCGGAAUUAUUGGGCGUAAAGAGCUCGUAGGUGGUUUAUCACGUCGGAUGUGAAAUUCUGAGGCUCAACCUCGGACCUGCAUUCGAUACGGGCAAACUAGAGUGUGGUAGGGGAGACUGGAAUUCCUGGUGUAGCGGUGGAAUGCGCAGAUAUCAGGAGGAACACCAAUGGCGAAGGCAGGUCUCUGGGCCAUUACUGACACUGAGGAGCGAAAGCGCGGGGAGCGAACGGGAUUAGAUACCCUGGUAGUCCGCGCCGUAAACGGUGGGCACUAGUUGUGGGAACCUUCCACGGUUUCCGCGACGCAGCUAACGCAUUAAGUGCCCCGCCUGGGGAGUACGAUCGCAAGAUUA
RNAcentral lists this ribosomal RNA (854 nucleotides) under uncultured bacterium. RNAcentral's name for it is "bacterial SSU rRNA". It matches the Rfam family "Bacterial small subunit ribosomal RNA", at positions 28 to 896 of the family's 1533-position model. The record is from RNAcentral.